UACAGAGGUGGCAAGCGUUGUUCGGAUUUACUGGGCGUAAAGGGUCCGUAGGCGGUUCGGUUAGUCAAAUGUGAAAGCCCACAGCUCAACUGUGGAACUGCAUUUGAAACUGCCGAGCUAGAGUGUGAGAGGGGUAAAGGGAAUUCCCGGUGUAAGGGUGAAAUCUGCAGAGAUCGGGAGGAACACCAGUCGCGAAGGCGCUUUACUGGCUCACUACUGACGCUCAGGGACGAAAGCUAGGGUAGCAAAC
Molecule: ribosomal RNA, 250 nt
Filed under: uncultured bacterium
Lineage: Bacteria
Description: partial 16S ribosomal RNA
Rfam family: Bacterial small subunit ribosomal RNA
Source: RNAcentral